Long non-coding RNA from Copidosoma floridanum, 606 nucleotides. RefSeq annotates it as YY1-associated factor 2. The record is from RefSeq and is a predicted model, not a curated record. Lineage: Eukaryota; Metazoa; Arthropoda; Insecta; Hymenoptera; Encyrtidae.
CAAAUAUAUAGUCAAACCUUGAAAUUUAUGAAUUAUUUCGAGUGUUUGGAUUAGAUUCGUAGAAACAGUUGACCUUGAAAUUGUAUUUAUGUUGUGACCUUAUCUCAUACACAAUUGGCUUUCUUUAUAAUACGAUUUGGAAUUAGCAGUGGCAUUGAUAAAAGUGUUCAAAUCACCUUUAAUUUAAUCAAUCUACUUACCAGAUUAACUUUAUCUUUCUCAUUCAAUUAAUUCAAGCUUCAGAUAUAGUUGCUUUUACCAUUGCUCUUGAAAAAUAAUUAAGGCUUUAUUUAAAGAUGAAAUAUUUUAGUUCAAUUUCUCAAUUACACAACUGAAGAAUAGGUUACUCAAUGGAUUGUAAGGAAUUAAUUGUGAUGUAAGAUCAGUCAAGUUUUUUAUCAACCAGUUUGAAGGAAAUUAUACCAUAAAGCUAAAAACAAGACUGAACCAUGUUUCCAAGGUGUAUAUCAUCUUUAUGGCAUAUAGACAGAUUCACAUGUAAACAUGUGAGACAGAUUUGUACUCUAUUGAGUUGAUAAUUCUCAAUGUAUAUAUCUUAGACAGUAAUUCUCCGUUAAAUUGGUUGAAAAAAAAAAAAAAAAAAAA